GAUGAACGCCGGCGGCGUGCCUAACACAUGCAAGUCGAACGAAGCACUUUAGCUUGAUUCUUCGGAUGAAGGCUAUUGUGACUGAGUGGCGGACGGGUGAGUAACGCGUGGGUAACCUGCCUCACACAGGGGGAUAACAGUUAGAAAUGACUGCUAAUACCGCAUAAGACCACGGAGUCGCAUGACUCAGUGGGAAAAACUCUGGUGGUAUGAGAUGGACCCGCGUCUGAUUAGGAAGUUGGUGGGGUAACGGCCUACCAAGCCGACGAUCAGUAGCCGACCUGAGAGGGUGACCGGCCACAUUGGGACUGAGACACGGCCCAAACUCCUACGGGAGGCAGCAGUGGGGAAUAUUGCACAAUGGGGGAAACCCUGAUGCAGCGACGCCGCGUGAGCGAAGAAGUAUUUCGGUAUGUAAAGCUCUAUCAGCAGGGAAGAAAAUGACGGUACCUGACUAAGAAGCACCGGCUAAAUACGUGCCAGCCGCCGCUGUAA
This 495-nucleotide ribosomal RNA is filed under the name uncultured bacterium. Its description in RNAcentral is "partial 16S ribosomal RNA". It matches the Rfam family "Bacterial small subunit ribosomal RNA", at positions 28 to 523 of the family's 1533-position model. The record is from RNAcentral.